AAGCGCGCGCAGGCGGCCUUUUAAGUUGGAUGUGAAAGCCUACGGCUCAACCGUAGAACUGCAUCCAAAACUAUCAGGCUAGAGUGUGGGAGAGGAAGAUGGAAUUAGUUGUGUAGGGGUAAAAUCCGUAGAGAUAACUAGGAAUACCAAAAGCGAAGGCAAUCUUCUGGAACAUUACUGACGCUGAGGCGCGAAAGCGUGGGGAGCAAACAGGAUUAGAUACCCUGGUAGUCCACGCCCUAAACGAUGAAUGUUAGUCGUCGGGAAGCUAGUCUUUUCGGUGAUGCAGCUAACGCAUUAAACAUUCCGCCUGGGGAGUACGGUCGCAAGAUUAAAACUCAAAGGAAUAGACGGGGACCCGCACAAGUGGUGGAGCAUGUGGUUUAAUUCGAAGAUACGCGAAGAACCUUACCUAGCCUUGACAUAUAUUAGAACACCCUAGAGAUAGAGUGGUGCCUUCGGGAGCUUUUAUACAGGUGCUGCACGGCUGUCGUCAGCUCGUGUCGUGAGAUGUUGGGUUAAGUCCCGCAACGAGCGCAACCCUCGUCACUAGUUACUAACGGUUCGGCCGAGGACUCUAGUGAGACUGCCUUCGCAAGGAGGAGGAAGGUGAGGACGACGUCAAGUCAUCAUGGCCCUUACGGCUAGGGCAACACACGUGCUACAAUGGCCAGGACAAUGAGAAGCGAUACC
This 693-nucleotide ribosomal RNA is filed under the name uncultured bacterium. RNAcentral describes it as "bacterial SSU rRNA". It matches the Rfam family "Bacterial small subunit ribosomal RNA", at positions 563 to 1256 of the family's 1533-position model. The record is from RNAcentral.